AUAAGCUCAAGAGGAGGAUCUAGAUGCUUUCAGUUUUAACUAUUCACCAAUAGUGGAAAAGGCAGAAUGUCUAAGCUAUGGCUUGGUGACCAAUAGGGUAGCUGUGUAUCUCUCACAUGACUCACUGCCCCUGUCUUUCACAUGGGCUGUAAUUUAGUUCAAUUCAGAACUGCAGAUAGUACGGCUUCCACAGGAGCAAGGGAUGCCUGAGCAGAAGUGGCUGAGUUCCUAGUGACUUUACGAAGGACUUCUCCGCCUUCCUGCGGCACGAAAACAGGGAUUCUGCACCUGCACUGGGGACGGGCUGGUAAAAGCCUCUGCUCUGCCUCCGGGGACCAGGAACUACAGCAAAUAACCAUGUUGAAAUUGGAUCUUGGCAAAAUGACCAACAAAUUCAUGAAGGAAGCUGAAGGCAAUUUGAAUAAUGGUUCUACCGAAAUUGAAGAAACAUGGAUAUCUCCAAAGGAUAGUAGAGAGCUUGGUUAGUUGUACCCUAAAAUUAGGAUGUGAUUAAGAAUUUCCAGGGCUGUCUACUGUCUACUGUGUAAAGUACAUUGAGUGUUUCCCCGAAGCUGCACUAUUCAAAGAAAAAAAAAAAAAAGCUAAACACACAGCAACAACAACAAAAACUUUCUCAAGUGGUCAGACAAACUGGAACUAUUGGAUUAUAGGUAAGAGGAAUAAAAUGAAAGGUUGAAAGCUAUAAUUUCUGCCUCUGUGGUGGUAACUGAAUCAGCUGUCAGGCAAUUAAAAAUAUGGCAAGUUGAGUUCAGAGACUGGAAGAGGACACUUCCCAGCUGCAGCCGGUCAGGCCCUGGCUCGGAAGACACGCAGUUAUUACAUGUUGGACCCCUCUCUCAGGCGAAUUCUUCUCUCCUCCUACCUGUGUCCCUAUUUUCCAUGAACAUUAUCACUGGCUUUGACAAUUUCUUAUUUUACUUUCCUCCUUCUCAUUCCCUUAUCUUUAAAACAAACAAAACAUAGUAGUUGUGUGGCCUCUGGUGAUCCAUGGUUGGCACCCCUAGAAACAAAGAGGGAGUUUGGGAAGGAGAUCCUGCAUUUCAGUGUCCCCUUCAAUCCACCAGAGGCUAGUUUGCUUUGGAACAUGUAGAUUUCUGGAAAAAGCCCCUCCUCUAGAGGAACAUCUGUACACAUAUACAUAUCAGGCAGCCACUUUCGUAAAUGUGCUAAUUUGAAAUGUGGAUUUUAAGGAUGUUACUAUUAAACAAAAUGACAAAAUGGCUUGCAUACUCACUAUGAGUUUGGGAGACUCAAUUCAUAAUUGAGCCUUAUCCUUUUAAUUUAACUGGAAUUAACAGAAUUUUAGAGGUGAUAGAAACUUGGAACUGUCAUAGUCACAUGAAGAUGAAGAAAUCUAACAAGCAAUUUGUCUUAAAGUCAUUUAACUUAUGUGUAAGUGCCAUUAGGGUAAUUAUAGUUUUGCAUUCAUUUAGACAAAGAAAAUAUUUUCUCAAAAAAUAUAUUUGAGAAAUAUUUUCUCAGAAACACAUCUGGGAAAUUUUUAAGGAGAAAUCUAAGUUUAUCUGUAUCUACCAUCCAACGUAAGCAAUAAUAUGUAUUAAACUGUCUGAGCAUAUUACUUAUAAUAUAACUUACUUCAAUUGUCAAUGUAUUUUCUGACUUCUAUAUAUAUCUGA
This 1658-nucleotide long non-coding RNA is filed under the name Heterocephalus glaber (naked mole-rat). RNAcentral's name for it is "lncRNA (ENSHGLG00000036060.1)". The record is from RNAcentral. Lineage: Eukaryota; Metazoa; Chordata; Mammalia; Rodentia; Bathyergidae.